CAUGCUGGAGGACUUGGAGAGGAGGAAGGGCAGCCGGGCAAGGAAUCCAGGCCCUUCCAGACCCUGGAGCAGGCCGGGAAGUGGCUUUUCAGACAGAACCACUUCUGUGGACAUCCUGCUUUUAGGCUUCUGACCUCCAGAAAAUACCGAGUCCUUCUCUGGCAGCCCCAGGGAGCGACGGCGCCAUCCGCACGGCAGAGCUCUCCAGCUCCCCAGGGUGUGUGCCCAGUCGCCGCCCACUCCUCCACUUGGUACCUGGUAGGCACCCGACUUCAGCUCGUCCGAAAGCCCUUCCUGGUUUUCCAGAACCUGCUCCAUCUGUGCCCUCCCAGCUGAGUCGGCCUCAGCUCCGUGCCCUCGGGGAAGCCCGCACAACCUGGGAGCUGCCCUGGACUCCUCCCUGAGGACACCGAAAAGCCAGAUGCCCUCAUGGUCCAAGUCCCGCUGCACCACCGCCCAGAUGUGCGCCGCCUCCUCAUCGGUGAGCUGGGAAAGGUCCAGCUUUCGCCCCAUCUCUGCCUCUGGUCUGAGUCACACCUGGAACGUCACAGGGUCACAACUGGUCAGCCCCAGGAAGCCCACAGAUGCCACCCGAGUCCUAGAGUAAGAGGAGGGACAGCAACGUUUCCUCCGAGUGUCUCGCAGUUUCCUGCCUGGAAAUUGGUGUCACCUAAUAAAUCCUGCACAGUUCACCAAA
This is a non-coding RNA of Ictidomys tridecemlineatus (thirteen-lined ground squirrel), 697 nucleotides long. Lineage: Eukaryota; Metazoa; Chordata; Mammalia; Rodentia; Sciuridae. The record is from RefSeq and is a predicted model, not a curated record.